Molecule: unclassified non-coding RNA, 430 nt
Filed under: Hevea brasiliensis (rubber tree)
Lineage: Eukaryota; Viridiplantae; Streptophyta; Magnoliopsida; Malpighiales; Euphorbiaceae
Source: RNAcentral
AAAAGAUGCAAUUUAUAUAUAAUUGUUUGGCGAUUAAGCCACAAACAUCCCUGAAACACCAUAUAGAUUCUGCUAACAGCAAUUCCAAGACCGCCAUAACCAAACAUGAGUCGCCUAAUGAACCAAGUACAAAGGCAUCUCAUAGCGUUUCUACAUUAACUAGCUAGCAAAUCCUUACUUGAUGAGGAGAUGAUCUGAAACAAGCAACCUUCAAUUCCACAACGGCUUCUAUACCCUAGACCACAUGAUAGGGGUGCUCCUGUUGGGUGGAAGCUGCACAGUCAUACAGUGUUGUUGUUGCCACUGUUGGAAACUGUCACCGGUGUUAACUGCUUCCCCGCUGUUCACUUCCUCGACUUCCAUUGAAGAGGCUUCUGUUACCUCAGCAUCCAUCGGCUCUUCCUCAGGAGGCAUAUCGACAGGAGCACAA